ACUCCUACGGGAGGCAGCAGUGGGAAUCUUGGACAAUGGGGCACCGUGCAUCCAGCCAUGCCGCGUGAGUGAUGAAGGCCUUAGGGUCGUAAAGCUCUUUCGCCUGUGAAGAUAAUGACGGUAGCAGGUAAAGAAACCCGCCGUACAUCCGUGCCAGCAGCCGCGGUAAUACGGAGGGGGUUAGCGUUGUUCGGAAUUACUGGGCGUAAAGCGCACGUAGGCGGAUCGGAAAGUUGGGGGUGAAAUCCCGGGGCUCAACCCGCACGG
RNAcentral lists this ribosomal RNA (267 nucleotides) under uncultured bacterium. RNAcentral describes it as "partial 16S ribosomal RNA". It matches the Rfam family "Bacterial small subunit ribosomal RNA", at positions 335 to 623 of the family's 1533-position model. The record is from RNAcentral.